UAAUGAUCCCAAAAGCCGUGGUUCACAUCUCAUGUAUUUUAAUUGCCUAAAAAGGCACUACAUCUGGAACUGUAGUAACUAACCAAAUUUAUGUUUCUUAAUUCAGUUGAUUACUCUGAAAUCUUACUAUAUUGGAAUCAAUGUAUGAUCCUAGAAAAUGAAGACAAUUGUGAAUAUAACAUGACUAACUUAAUUCUGGUAUGGUUUGGCUUAUUGGCCUCUACUUUCAUUGUUGAUUUCAUUCUCUCAUUGAAUUAACGUUGCAGAAGAGAGGGUGGAGUGUUACAUGUCCAUGGGAAUACAAAAGACUCAGAGGAGAGUCAGUGGAUUGCUCAUGUAGCAAAAUCAAUAAAUGACAUCGCUAGAUCGGAAGGUUGCUGCUGGGAGAUUUCUAUAGAACAUGUUGAGAGGGUAAAAUGGUAUGCUCCACAUAUUCGUCACGUUGUGGUGGAUGUAAGAUGCAGACAAAUCCAAAGAUAGUGAAUGAGCUGGUAUUAGAUUGCCGAGUCUGGAUUGCUGAAGUUCAGAAACUAUUCGUUCGGACUGGCACAUAUUGUACGUGGAAGAGGUUGCAGAGUGGAUUAUAGUUAUUGAAUUUAGUAGUGACAACCUCUGCAUACUUUUUAUGCAUCAUGUUUUGGAGAUAAUUUUAUGCUUUCAAAAUUGGAGAGGAACGCUUCAUAUUAUAUUUAUAACAUGAAGCUAACUCAAUUGUUUGUAUUAAUUAGUUUGGGCUACAAUGAAAGCCCAUAAUGAUAGUUGCUUCUUUUUUUUAUUCUACACAGGUAUUUUAUAUAAUCUCAUUGUUAUUGUUGUACUGUAUUAAAUGAAGCUAUCUAGGCAUAUUUUUAAUUGUAACCCAAAAUGUAAUAAUCACAAUUCUCCUUGAUGGAAUACAGGUGGGAAGUGGAAAUCCCGAAACUUAGUUUAAGGCCGAACGUUAA
Molecule: small RNA, 944 nt
Filed under: Vigna angularis var. angularis
Lineage: Eukaryota; Viridiplantae; Streptophyta; Magnoliopsida; Fabales; Fabaceae
Description: Non-protein coding transcript
Source: RNAcentral